GGAGCCUGCCUCUUAAAAACCCUCCUAAACCACAUACACAAAAGAAUGUAGAUGAGGUCAGACUUAUGGUCUUGUGAGCCCAGUAUAGUCCCUUAGUCACAGAAGGAUGGAACAAAAACUGAGGCCUAAUGAUGUGCAAGAUUGACAUCAAACCUACUAAAACCAGUGGGGAAUGUGAUAGUAGGAGAAAAUGUGACUCCAUUUUGUUUUAUGACUUCAUCCUGUAAAACAACCAUGCCAAGUAGAAGAGUCAUGACUGGAGCAAGAUGUUCUUUUCCUUUUGUUAUAGAAAUCUUUAAGAACACGGGACUACCUAAUGGGGCAUUGUUUCUGUAACUAGGGUAACAGGGCUCUGUUUCUGUAACUGGGGUGACUGGGGUAACUGGGCUAACUGUGAUUGGUUAGGCUUCCCUCCGCUUGACUGCACUGUCCCGCUUCUGUAACCUGGCUUGCUUACAUUGGCUAGACCCCCUGAACAUCCCUUUUGUGGUUUUCAGGCUUAUAAGGAAUGC
This 512-nucleotide long non-coding RNA is filed under the name Marmota monax (woodchuck). Lineage: Eukaryota; Metazoa; Chordata; Mammalia; Rodentia; Sciuridae. The record is from RNAcentral.